UGCCUGGGUCCCCGAGGCAGCCCCAAGUGAGCCCCAUAUAUUUUCCUUACGUGAUCAGGCCUCUCAUAGUGGGGCUGCUGGUUUGGAGCCUGAGAGGACUAUGAAAAUGGGGCAGUAUUACCAGCUGUUCUUGAA
This 135-nucleotide small nucleolar RNA is filed under the name Mus caroli (Ryukyu mouse). RNAcentral's name for it is "predicted gene, 25913 (MGP_CAROLIEiJ_G0034374.1)". It matches the Rfam family "small Cajal body-specific RNA 17". Rfam says of the family: scaRNAs are a specific class of small nuclear RNAs which localise to the Cajal bodies and guide the modification of RNA polymerase II transcribed spliceosomal RNAs U1, U2, U4, U5 and U12. The complete human U12-22/U4-8 scaRNA is composed of two tandem C/D box domains (termed U12-22 and U4-8). Lineage: Eukaryota; Metazoa; Chordata; Mammalia; Rodentia; Muridae. The record is from RNAcentral.